UGGAGGAGCAGGGGUACUCUGAGGAGGAAACCCGGCAGAAGGUCAGGACUUUCCGGCAGAUGCUGAUGGAGAAGGAGGGAAUGCUCACGAGGGAGGACCGGCCUGGAGGCCACAUGUGAGUGCCACCUGUGUGGGGGCAGGGGAAGGGAGGGUGCAGGCUCAGACGCAGCUGGGUGCCAGAGGGGCCUUUCCAAAUGCUCCUUCUGAGGGUUGGAGGUCUGCAAGGAAGAGAAGCUAGACAUGAACUCUGUCCACUGGAAGCUCCAGCCUGGCCCAGGCACAAGGCGGGACACCAGGGCAUCACUGGCACCUGCCCCUGCUCCCUGGGUUCUAUCUAUGGCCCAACAGUGGGAGAGGCAGCCCAGAUCUCAGGUCAGGGAAUCAUAGGCUAAAAUCAGGAAACCUGAUAAAUGUUCUGACCCCAAGCACUGUCAUAGGUUGACAGUGGGACCCCAAGGUAGUCCCUGUGCCCCAACUCUUACCACCCAUACAAUGGCCUCCAGAGUAAACAUGUACUCUCGAAAGCAGGACUCAACACACCAAAUGCCAUUGUUAACGUGGCCAAAGUCUUGUCAGAGAAAGAGAGCACGAGCUGGUGUGUGUGUGUGUGUGUGUGUGUGUGUGUGUGUGUGUGUGUGUGUGUGUGUGUUUGUGUGUGACAUCUCUGUACCUGUCAUAGGGCAGGAGACACCUGUCACAAGACUGGUGGGUUACAGGCCCCCAGGAGGGCUUUGGAUAAACAGGGAAGUUAUAGGGAGGUCAACAUUGUCUCAUUUAGAGAAGAAUUGGGAACCACUCAAAACUGUACAGAAUGGAGCAGACUGCCAUAGGAGGGCGGGACGGCCUGUCCCAGAGUGUCCAGGCAUGUCUGGAUGGCCAGAUGCCUGGCAGGCAGUGUGCACUGGGUGUCACUGAAUUCACUCUGAUCGAUCUUCCCCUUGCAAAGCCUCAGUGUCCCUGCCCCGUUGUGGCAUUCCCUGCUUCUUACCUCACUUAAACCUCCCCUCUCUGGCCUGGGUAGGAGUGAAAGCAAAGUCAGAGCAGCCUCAGGCUUGUGGGGGGUUCACAGGUGACGCGGGGAGCCAGGCCCAGUUGGCCUCUCCCUCUUCCUCUCUGGUGGGAAUAGGUGAUGCCACCACGAACUCCUUCUCUCCAGCCCCCCGGAACUCCCAGCAGCCCUCCCAGCUCCUGUGCCUUCCCCCUCAUGCCAGCCAGUUCCCUACAAAGCAAGGCCAGCCCUUCUCUUCCUCUCUCAAAUCUCCUGGUAAACAAGAUCCUCCUGCUGCUGCCUGCACCACCUCCAAACCCAACAGGGCCUGGCUUUCGGACUGGUGCCCCCUCAAAUCACCCAGGACUCCUCUGGAAUUCAUCUGCCCUUUCCCCUCCGACCAGUGUGAGGGUGUGAGGCCUCCUCUGGACUCUACCUGCCACCUUCCCUGGGCCCUUCCAGCUCAGGCCUGCCCUUCCCCUUUCCCCUGGGCUCUUUCCUAUUAAUCUAGUUAUUGUCCUUCCUCAAUUCUGCUUUCUCCUCCAGCUACCAGCCCACAUUUUUCUCUCCUUUCUCAAUCAAAAAUGUUUAAAAUAUAUUUUUAUUGAUUUCAGAGAGGA
Myotis davidii is the source of this 1608-nucleotide long non-coding RNA. RefSeq lists it as uncharacterized. The record is from RefSeq and is a predicted model, not a curated record. The transcript is spliced from 3 exons. Lineage: Eukaryota; Metazoa; Chordata; Mammalia; Chiroptera; Vespertilionidae.